CAUUUUGUAGGUAAAAAAUUUGAGAACUUCUUUAAGGUUUUAUGUAUUAAUCAUACAUGUUUUCAAGAUAUAUGUUAUCAAGAGAUGCCUAAUUUUUUUAUUUUUAAUUUUGGCAGUGAGUUUUGGUGUUGCUGCUUCUGGCACAUAGUCUGAAGAGAAAUAUAGACCAGUUUUCUGGAUAUGUCUGGGUUGAAAUCAGGAGGAAAAAUAGAGGACAAAAGUUAAGGAGAAACUUGACAAAUGUGUUAAAAAAAUAUUGUUGGAUUUUUGUGAUAUCCUCAAUAUUCCAGUAAACAAAACCACCGCAAAGAAGGAAGAAAUUUCAGUAAAUUUACUGGAGUUCUUGGAAUCUCCUCAAGCUACAACUGACACUUCGCUUGUUGACAAGGACUAGGUAAGACACUUUUGAUUUCCUUUACCUUUUUUUUAUUGGCUUAUAUUAAUCUUUAUUUUUUUUAUUUAUUCUUGUGUCUUGUAUACUUGAUGGCAUUAAAAUGUUCAUAUAGUCAGCUAGGUGUGUGGUCUUGUUGAAAUUUGUUAUUUUCCGGCAAGGUUUAUUACUGAAAUUGGAUAUUACAUCUCUUUUUUGUCAAUACUAAGAAAUUCUUGUUUUGAUUUGAUUUCUUUGUCAGUUUUAUUGUAUUUUUCUGCUUUUUUAGUAGUAAGUUAGCCAACUAUUUUAAUUGCUAAUUUUGUGAUAUACUUUAACGAUACCCGUUUAGAUAUCUGAAAGGAGAAUGUUUAAAUUGUUUAAAAAUUUGU
This is a long non-coding RNA of Cornus florida, 762 nucleotides long. RefSeq lists it as uncharacterized. The transcript is spliced from 4 exons. NCBI's taxonomy places the organism in Eukaryota, Viridiplantae, Streptophyta, Magnoliopsida, Cornales, Cornaceae. The record is from RefSeq and is a predicted model, not a curated record.